CAGCAGCCGCGGGAAUACGAGGGGGGCAAGCGUUGUUCGGAAUUAUUGGGCGUAAAGGGUGCGUAGGCGGCUUGACAAGUCUUGUGUGAAAUCUAUGGGCUCAACCCAUAGUCUGCACGGGAAACUGUCGGGCUUGAGUAUGGGAGAGGUGAGUGGAAUUUCCGGUGUAGCGGUGAAAUGCGUAGAUAUCGGAAGGAACACCUGUGGCGAAAGCGGCUCACUGGACCAUAACUGACGCUGAUGCACGAAAGCUAGGGGAGCAAACAGGAUUAGAUACCCCAGUAGUCCCUGUCUCUUAUAC
This 301-nucleotide ribosomal RNA is filed under the name uncultured bacterium. RNAcentral describes it as "partial 16S ribosomal RNA". It matches the Rfam family "Bacterial small subunit ribosomal RNA", at positions 509 to 807 of the family's 1533-position model. The record is from RNAcentral.